RNAcentral lists this long non-coding RNA (329 nucleotides) under Junco hyemalis (dark-eyed junco). Its description in RNAcentral is "lncRNA (ENSJHYG00000014086.1)". The record is from RNAcentral. Lineage: Eukaryota; Metazoa; Chordata; Aves; Passeriformes; Passerellidae.
GAUAGCACCAGUCAUGCCUGCCUAUGCCAGUUGAAGAACUUACUGCUCCUCUUCUGAAUGCAACUAGACUGUAGAUCUUACCAGGUUGCAGGAAGGAUGUGUACUGUCAGCAACUCUCAGAAGGCUGAACAAACGAGUCCCACAGCAGCCCUGGGAAGGAUCUCUGCUGUACCUUUUGGGAGGGCAGAUUUUUUACUGGAGGCUAGCACGUUUUGGAUUCCUUUUCAAAUGAGAGGCAUGACUGGCCUUAUAGAAGUCUUGCUGCAGCAGCCCAAUGAGACUUUUCACUUUGGCUUUUUUGGCUACAAAAUUUGUUGACAAAUGCAGUC